GUGUCAGCAGCCGCGGUAAUACAGAGGUCCCAAGCGUUGUUCGGAUUCACUGGGCGUAAAGGGUGCGUAGGUGGUGAGGUAAGUCCGAUGUGAAAGCUCCGAGCUCAACUCGGAAAUUGCAUUAGAAACUACCUUGCUAGAGGGUUGGAGGGGGGACUGGAAUUCUCGGUGUAGCAGUGAAAUGCGUAGAUAUCGAGAGGAACACCAGUGGCGAAGGCGAGUCCCUGGACAACUCCUGACACUGAGGCACGAAAGCUAGGGGAGCAAACAGGAUUAGAAACCCCCGUAGUCC
This 292-nucleotide ribosomal RNA is filed under the name uncultured bacterium. RNAcentral describes it as "partial 16S ribosomal RNA". It matches the Rfam family "Bacterial small subunit ribosomal RNA", at positions 505 to 796 of the family's 1533-position model. The record is from RNAcentral.